This 382-nucleotide long non-coding RNA is filed under the name Mytilus galloprovincialis (Mediterranean mussel). Lineage: Eukaryota; Metazoa; Mollusca; Bivalvia; Mytilida; Mytilidae. The record is from RNAcentral.
CCUUGAAAUAGUUCUUGUCAAAAAUUAACAUGGUUUUAAAUGCCAUAAAACAUAAUUUAUUAAUGUUCAUAAAAAAAUACACAAUUAGUUAGCACAUGGCGGUGGUUUGGACUGUACCAUCUUCUUUGUAUGUUCAUUUAGCUGUUCAAAUGGAAUCCACAACGCAUUUUGUGCCGGUUCACCUUUAAAUUGCACACGGUAUUCAGUUUUUCCAUUUAUUUUACGUUGAGACAAAAUUCUCUUAACUUUAUAAUAAGUGUCUGAUUGGGUCGUAAAUUCAUCGGACGAGUUUGUAUCUAAAGUGGAAAGUUGAAAACGAAUAGGACGUUUUCUAGUUCGUGUUGAACGUCUGACAACCGGUUGAGUCUGUGGUAACGGUGGG